This 578-nucleotide ribosomal RNA is filed under the name uncultured archaeon. RNAcentral's name for it is "bacterial SSU rRNA". It matches the Rfam family "Archaeal small subunit ribosomal RNA", at positions 731 to 1319 of the family's 1478-position model. The record is from RNAcentral.
AGAUACCCCGGUAGUCCUAGCUGUAAAGGAUGCGGGCCAGGUGUCUGGUGUUCCUCGAGAGCACCAUGUGCCGGAGGGAAGCCGUUAAGCCCGCCGCCUGGGAAGUACGGCCGCAAGGCUGAAACUUAAAGAAAUUGGCGGGGGAGCACUACAAGGGGUGGGACCUGCGGUUCAAUCGGAUUCAACGCCGAAAAACUCACCAGGGGCGACAGUUGUUUGAAGGCCAGGUUGACGACCUUGCCAGACUAUUGAGAGGUGGUGCAUGGCCAUCGUCAGCUCGUACCGUGAGGCGUCCUGUCAAGUCAGGCAACGAGCGAGAUCCUCGCCUUAGUUGCUAACAGUGGAAAGCUGAGCACACUAGGGGGACCGCUGGCGCUAAGUCAGAGGAAGGAGAGGGCGACGGUAGGUCCGUAUGCCCCGAAUCCCCUGGGCCACACGCGGGUCACAAUGCGUAGGACAAUGGGUUGCAACUCCGUAAGGGGAAGCCAAUCCCUAAACUACGCUCGGUUCGGAUCGAGGGCUGCAACUCGCCCUCGUGAAGCUGGAAUCCUAGUAAUCGCGCGCCAACACCGCGCGGU